Molecule: ribosomal RNA, 495 nt
Filed under: uncultured bacterium
Lineage: Bacteria
Description: partial 16S ribosomal RNA
Rfam family: Bacterial small subunit ribosomal RNA
Source: RNAcentral
GACGAACGCUGGCGGCGUGCCUAAUACAUGCAAGUAGAACGCUGAAGGAGGAGCUUGCUCUUCUGGAUGAGUUGCGAACGGGUGAGUAACGCGUAGGUAACCUGCCUGGUAGCGGGGGAUAACUAUUGGAAACGAUAGCUAAUACCGCAUAAUAGUAGAUGUUGCAUGAUAUUUACUUAAAAGGUGCAAUUGCACCACUACCAGAUGGACCUGCGUUGUAUUAGCUAGUUGGUGGGGUAACGGCUCACCAAGGCGACGAUACAUAGCCGACCUGAGAGGGGGAUCGGCCACACUGGGACUGAGACACGGCCCAGGCUCCUACGGGAGGCAGCAGUAGGGAAUCUUCGGCAAUGGACGAAAGUCUGACCGAGCAACGCCGCGUGAGUGAAGAAGGGUUUCGGAUCGUAAAGCUCUGUUGUAAGAGAAGAACGAGUGUGAGAGUGGAAAGUUCACACUGUGACGGUAGCUUACCAGAAAGAGACGGCUAACUACGUG